Molecule: ribosomal RNA, 453 nt
Filed under: Pseudomonas sp. R-37583
Lineage: Bacteria; Pseudomonadati; Pseudomonadota; Gammaproteobacteria; Pseudomonadales; Pseudomonadaceae
Description: bacterial SSU rRNA
Rfam family: Bacterial small subunit ribosomal RNA
Source: RNAcentral
CUGGCUCAGAUUGAACGCUGGCGGCAGGCCUAACACAUGCAAGUCGAGCGGUAGAGAGAAGCUUGCUUCUCUUGAGAGCGGCGGACGGGUGAGUAAUGCCUAGGAAUCUGCCUGGUAGUGGGGGAUAACGCUCGGAAACGGACGCUAAUACCGCAUACGUCCUACGGGAGAAAGCAGGGGACCUUCGGGCCUUGCGCUAUCAGAUGAGCCUAGGUCGGAUUAGCUAGUUGGUGAGGUAAUGGCUCACCAAGGCGACGAUCCGUAACUGGUCUGAGAGGAUGAUCAGUCACACUGGAACUGAGACACGGUCCAGACUCCUACGGGAGGCAGCAGUGGGGAAUAUUGGACAAUGGGCGAAAGCCUGAUCCAGCCAUGCCGCGUGUGUGAAGAAGGUCUUCGGAUUGUAAAGCACUUUAAGUUGGGAGGAAGGGCAGUAAAUUAAUACUUUGCUGU